GAACGCAAAUUGCACUCUCUGGUAUUCCGGAGAGUAUGCCUGUUUGAGGGUCAGUUAAAUAAAAAUCGGUGUUGUUGCUACCUUGCGUGGUGAUGCAUCGGAUUUGGGUCGUCUUACCUUUGGUUAAGUGACCUAAAAUUUUGCAUGAUUUUUCGAACGUAUUUAAAUUAUUUACGUACGUUUGUGAUAUCGAAUAUUAGGAGUGGUCAUUCUCAUGAUUCGCGCCUAUAAUUUUUCAUCAAAAUGACCUCAAAUCAGGUAAGAGUACCCGCUGAACUUAAGC
Molecule: unclassified non-coding RNA, 283 nt
Filed under: uncultured Glomus
Lineage: Eukaryota; Fungi; Glomeromycota; Glomeromycetes; Glomerales; Glomeraceae
Description: sequence contains ITS2
Rfam family: 5.8S ribosomal RNA (bases 1-53)
Source: RNAcentral